Aphis gossypii (cotton aphid) is the source of this 995-nucleotide long non-coding RNA. RefSeq lists it as uncharacterized. NCBI's taxonomy places the organism in Eukaryota, Metazoa, Arthropoda, Insecta, Hemiptera, Aphididae. The transcript is spliced from 3 exons. The record is from RefSeq and is a predicted model, not a curated record.
CCCAGAUAGCGGCGGUGACGCCGGCGGAGUCCACCGUCAUGGAACAUAAAACGAAAUGCUAGACCGCCUCGCCGCGUUUUCUGUGGUGGUAUCGGCGUCGGCUAUGGACGGUGCCCGCUAAAUAACAAGCCGCGUAUGUUGCUCUGAUGGCGCCGCCGCAUCUGAGCCGGAUGGGUCUGUCACGCUUGGGACUCCGGACUCAUGGAAAAGAAAUUUCCGGCGGUUGGCACAGCCGUCGCAUGAUGCGUGCGCACAUUAGUCCAUUACACCGCGCCAGUUUUUCGUACACCGAACGCCCGCACGCCACCGCUACCGCCGGAGUUUGUUGUACGCGACGCGCACAGGCCGACAACUGUCCGACGCGAAAUGGCCGAACUGUUGGCACUGCUGGGACUACGCCAACAAAUACAGCUGCUGUGGCCGUCACCGCUAAGGCGCUAAAGAAAACAACGUAUUUUCAAAUUAUUUUUUAUAAUGCCCGCGCAAUACGCCGGAAAUAUCAUAAUAAUAACAAAUAUCAUUUUAUUCUAACAACGAUAACUGAAUAUUGAAUAACCCAGCAAAUAAUUUAUAAUUAUGACGGCGAAGUGAUGAAUAAACACGUAAUAUGAACGUAUAAAUGUUUAGUUCUGUCCCAAAAACAACAUGGCGCUGGCUACUUUAACUACUAAAUGUAUUUUACAAAAUGAAUUAGAAAUACGAUAAUUAAUAAUCGUAUGCUGACAAAAAAAAUAACUUAUCGUGUAUGCCGAGUAUGGGUCGAUGAAGUGGAUAGGUGAAGGAUCGUUUUGGACAAAUUCAACAGCUUUUUUUAAUCGAAGUUGAAGCCGUAGAUUCCUCACUCAGAGCACAUGGGUAAAUCAUCAAAACCACUCGAAGAAUAUGAAUGAUGAACCAUAAAGUGCAUUCCAAUAUGUAACGCAAUAUAUCAAUAUCCUCAUUGAGUAUUGUCAACGACAAUAGAUAAGGUGUUAGCAUCAGAUGUAGUAAUCCAC